GGCGCUGUGGCUUUGUUGGUAAAAGCGCCUGUCUAGUAAACAGGAGAUCCUAAAUUCAAAUCUCAGCUGAGCAG
RNAcentral lists this transfer RNA (74 nucleotides) under Salmo salar (Atlantic salmon). It matches the Rfam family "tRNA". From Rfam's summary of the family: Transfer RNA (tRNA) molecules are approximately 80 nucleotides in length. Their secondary structure includes four short double-helical elements and three loops (D, anti-codon, and T loops). Further hydrogen bonds mediate the characteristic L-shaped molecular structure. tRNAs have two regions of fundamental functional importance: the anti-codon, which is responsible for specific mRNA codon recognition, and the 3' end, to which the tRNAs corresponding amino acid is attached (by aminoacyl-tRNA synthetases). tRNAs cope with the degeneracy of the genetic code in two manners: having more than one tRNA (with a specific anti-codon) for a particular amino acid; and 'wobble' base-pairing, i.e. permitting non-standard base-pairing at the 3rd anti-codon position. Lineage: Eukaryota; Metazoa; Chordata; Actinopteri; Salmoniformes; Salmonidae. The record is from Rfam by way of RNAcentral.